AAAUGCUGCAAGUUCUCCUCUAGCAGGGAGCAGAGCUUCCAGGCAUUAUGAUCUGUCCUGCCUGUCUGGAUGGAACUUCUGCUCCAUACUAUUGGAUAUUACGGAUCUUUCAAACAGAAUGCCAAACUAUAAAGAUGUGUGCAAUAUGAGCACAAUAUAUACUAUGUGAGUAAAGAAGCUACAGGCUGCGGGUAAUAGGAGAACUACUUCAAAGCAGCUAUGGGAAAGCUAAAAGGGGUUAGAAGUAGGGGAAGUUUAUCAGAACAUCAUUAGGCCAUUUCACGGAAGCCAAGAGCAGAAAGGCCACGGAUGUAUGGACUGGAACCAGGAUUGGAGCAUGGGGGAGCCUGCAUGGAUUGGUGACUUUUUCCGCAGAGUGUGGGUUCGUGGCUCUUCAGCUGUAGAUCAGUACUCUGUCCAUAAGUCUAUAGGACAGAAAAGGAUGGCCAAGAGCUCCUGAAUUUUACAUGUUCCAGUCCAGGGCUAAAGAGAUUUCUCUUUCCAACCCAGUCUACACAAUUGAUGAGGAAGAAACAGGAGUUUCCCCAGGUCA
RNAcentral lists this long non-coding RNA (553 nucleotides) under Pan troglodytes (chimpanzee). RNAcentral's name for it is "lincRNA". Lineage: Eukaryota; Metazoa; Chordata; Mammalia; Primates; Hominidae. The record is from RNAcentral.